AUGUCGUCGUGGUUUCCGUCCUCCUACUACGACGAGGAUGACGUCAAGCCGGCGGUGACGACGCAUUGGCGCCGUGACUAUGGCUACGGCUACGGCUACGGCGGGGGAGUCGCCGGGGAGGACGUCAAGCCGCGUCCGGGUCCUCCGAGAGCAGGAGCAGGAGCAGGCCGAGGUGUACAUGGACAGGACGAUCGGGCGGCGCUCUCUUGGCCGGCGGCUGAGGAGUUCAAGUCGACGCUGCGCACGCAGUAG
RNAcentral lists this ribosomal RNA (252 nucleotides) under Triticum aestivum (bread wheat). RNAcentral describes it as "partial small subunit ribosomal RNA". Lineage: Eukaryota; Viridiplantae; Streptophyta; Magnoliopsida; Poales; Poaceae. The record is from RNAcentral.